This 908-nucleotide ribosomal RNA is filed under the name Fusarium oxysporum. Its description in RNAcentral is "partial large subunit ribosomal RNA". It matches the Rfam family "Eukaryotic large subunit ribosomal RNA", at positions 24 to 958 of the family's 3401-position model. The record is from RNAcentral. Lineage: Eukaryota; Fungi; Ascomycota; Sordariomycetes; Hypocreales; Nectriaceae.
UGUACCCCGAUUGACUUAAGCAUAUUCAUAGCGGAGGAAAAGAAACCAACAGGGAUUGCCCUAGUAACGGCGAGUGAAGCGGCAACAGCUCAAAUUUGAAAUCUGGCUCUCGGGCCCGAGUUGUAAUUUGUAGAGGAUACUUUUGAUGCGGUGCCUUCCGAGUUCCCUGGAACGGGACGCCAUAGAGGGUGAGAGCCCCGUCUGGUUGGAUGCCAAAUCUCUGUAAAGUUCCUUCAACGAGUCGAGUAGUUUGGGAAUGCUGCUCUAAAUGGGAGGUAUAUGUCUUCUAAAGCUAAAUACCGGCCAGAGACCGAUAGCGCACAAGUAGAGUGAUCGAAAGAUGAAAAGCACUUUGAAAAGAGAGUUAAAAAGUACGUGAAAUUGUUGAAAGGGAAGCGUUUAUGACCAGACUUGGGCUUGGUUAAUCAUCUGGGGUUCUCCCCAGUGCACUUUUCCAGUCCAGGCCAGCAUCAGUUUUCCCCGGGGGAUAAAGGCGGCGGGAAUGUGGCUCUCUUCGGGGAGUGUUAUAGCCCACCGUGUAAUACCCUGGGGGGGACUGAGGUUCGCGCAUCUGCAAGGAUGCUGGCGUAAUGGUCAUCAACGACCCGUCUUGAAACACGGACCAAGGAGUCGUCUUCGUAUGCGAGUGUUCGGGUGUCAAACCCCUACGCGUAAUGAAAGUGAACGCAGGUGAGAGCUUCGGCGCAUCAUCGACCGAUCCUGAUGUUCUCGGAUGGAUUUGAGUAAGAGCAUACGGGGCCGGACCCGAAAGAAGGUGAACUAUGCCUGUAUAGGGUGAAGCCAGAGGAAACUCUGGUGGAGGCUCGCAGCGGUUCUGACGUGCAAAUCGAUCGUCAAAUAUGGGCAUGGGGGCGAAAGACUAAUCGAACCUUCUAGUAGCUGGUUCC